UAGAGGCUGAAAACCAAAACGCUUCACUUCCUGCGUCCUUUGUAGCUGGGGGUGGUCAUGCGCCAGUGGGAAGUGGGGGUGUGUGGAGUCCUUCCUUGAUUAAAAAGGCAAAACCUCGCUGGACGAUUUUCUUUCAUUGCCUCUCUCUUUGUGCUGAUUGAUUUUAUAGUUCAGCUCGGCCAGGCUCUGGUAACUAGCUAUUCAAACAUUUGUCCAGGUGAUUGUUGCCAUGGAGGUGUUUUGGAGAUAUGAUGGAAGUCCAUAAUCAGCUGAUUUUUAGUAAAGGAGAUUAUCCUCCACCAUGCGGGUGGGCCUCAUGCAAUCAGUUGAAGACCUUAAGAGCAAAACUGAGGUUUCCUUGAGGAAGAAGAAAUUCCACACGAGGAGAGCAGCUUCAGCUCGGGCCUGAGCAUUUCCAGACUGCUGGCUUGCCCUACAAAUUUCGGACUCGGCCAGCCAGACUCAGAAUUGCAUAAGCCACUUCCUUAGAAGGGGACAUGAGCUAUGAAGAUGCCUCUGCACCUUGCUGCCACGUAAGUGACAAACCUGUGGACAUUGAUGUUAAGCCUGGCGGAGCAGGAAGUUUUGCAGGGAGCAAGGGUCUGUGAUUGCUUCACUGUGCUCGCCUACCAGCUGGGACGGUCUCCCUCUGGGCAUCUUAAUAUAUCUGAAAUCAGAAUGCGCCUUCCGAUAAAUGACAUCUUACAACUAAUCGGCAGGGUUGUUUCUAUACUUUCUUUUCCCCCCUUUGGAAGUCCUUAAAUGACGACACAUCUUACAAUGA
Molecule: long non-coding RNA, 784 nt
Organism: Leopardus geoffroyi (Geoffroy's cat)
Lineage: Eukaryota; Metazoa; Chordata; Mammalia; Carnivora; Felidae
Exons: 2
Source: RefSeq, a predicted model, not a curated record